UGAACACCCUGGUUGACAUUUGCUCUCUCUGAUCAUAGGCAGUUUGUUAUUUGAAUAAUUAUGGGGUGGAUUUCGAAGGAGGACUCUUUCACUUUCACGAUGGGGAACCCUCAACAAUUGUGCCCAUGGCUGGCGAUGUUGUUAUGUAUACAGCAGACAGCAAAAAUAUUCAUUCUGUUGAUGAGGUAGGUCUCUCUCUCUUCAUUCUAUCUUUUCUUUUCUCUCAUGCUUGGUUGUGUUUUUCAGAAUUAGUUGUCACAUUAUUAAUGCUCCAACUUUUAUGUGGCUAAGAUACAAAAAGUAAUUUAAGUUUUUAUCUAAAAGGGGGAUCAAAGGAUAGAGUACUUGAAUUGUUAGACUGUACUUGUUGGUUUUGAACGGAUUUACCAUCCUCCUUUUGGAGCUGGUCGAAUGAAGUUCAUGACAAAAAUUAUAUCAC
Long non-coding RNA from Olea europaea var. sylvestris, 439 nucleotides. RefSeq lists it as uncharacterized. Lineage: Eukaryota; Viridiplantae; Streptophyta; Magnoliopsida; Lamiales; Oleaceae. The transcript has 2 exons. The record is from RefSeq and is a predicted model, not a curated record.